Molecule: ribosomal RNA, 490 nt
Filed under: uncultured bacterium
Lineage: Bacteria
Description: partial 16S ribosomal RNA
Rfam family: Bacterial small subunit ribosomal RNA
Source: RNAcentral
AUUGAACGCUGGCGGCAGGCUUAACACAUGCAAGUCGAGCGGUAGCACAGGGGAGCUUGCUCCCUGGGUGACGAGCGGCGGACGGGUGAGUAAUGUCUGGGAAACUGCCUGAUGGAGGGGGAUAACUACUGGAAACGGUAGCUAAUACCGCAUAACGUCGCAAGACCAAAGAGGGGGACCUUCGGGCCUCUUGCCAUCAGAUGUGCCCAGAUGGGAUUAGCUAGUAGGUGGGGUAAUGGCUCACCUAGGCGACGAUCCCUAGCUGGUCUGAGAGGAUGACCAGCCACACUGGAACUGAGACACGGUUCAGACUCCUACGGGAGGCAGCAGUGGGGAAUAUUGCACAAUGGGCGCAAGCCUGAUGCAGCCAUGCCGCGUGUGUGAAGAAGGCCUUCGGGUUGUAAAGCACUUUCAGCGAGGAGGAAGGUGGUGAGCUUAAUACGUUCAUCAAUUGACGUUACUCGCAGAAGAAGCACCGGCUAACUCCGUG